CAAUCAAGCAGUAGGUCAUAGGUUGCCCCAAAAGGAUUUUAACACGUGCAAAACCUUUUAGCACACGCAAAACCAAUAACAGGACCAUUGGUCAUGGUAUUUGUUCGCACCGAUCAAUGGUUGUGUCAUUAGUUGUGCGCGUGCUAAAAGUCUGAGUAAGUCUGGCCCUUAAUUAAGGUGCAGCAGAACCCGUUGAACCUGGCUUCUGCAGACACGGGUUCCACCCAGUUUGGUUUCCUCUCUUCUCUCCUCUUCUCUCUAUGGGCGGCCUGUAGCGUAGUGGUUAAGGUAAAUGACUGGGACACGCCAGGUCGGUGGUUCUAAUCCUGGUGUAGCCACAAUAAGAUCCGCACAGCCAUUGGGCCCUUGAGCAAGGCCCUUAACCCUGCAUUGCUCCAGGAGUGGAUUGUCUCCUGCUUAGUCUAAUCAAUUGUACGUCGCUUACUUGCCGUCGCACAGCUCGUUCUCCUUCAGUGGUGUAUUGAUCCUCGAUCGGGCCACAACAUGUAUAAACCAAGGAACAGUAAAAGGGAAGUAAAAAGUUGUUGUGUCCAAUCUCCACACCCUGCUGUGACUAUAAGAGUCUGGAGACGUCCAAUAUCAUUCUGUUCUUGGGACUGUAGACAGCUUAUAUGCACGUACGGACAAUUCCAAGUUGAUUUUGGCUUUAUAAAAGGAAAUUGUGCACCGGUACGUGUAUGCAAGUUUUUAUGAAUCAGAAUAUUUUUUUAGCGUACCGAGACGCCUAGACGGGCUCCUGCGUGGCUCUCUCCAAGGUGCCGGUCCCUUAAAUACGUACGCGGGAAAUAUUCACCGUGAAUCACUUGCCGUCACACAGCCCGCUCUCCUCCAGUGAUGUGCUGAUCCUCGAUCGGGCCACAACAUGUAGAAACCUAUUUCAGGAACAGUAAAGUGGAAGUGAAAGAGUUGUGUCCAAUCAGUCUCCACACCCUGCUGUGACUAUAAGAGUCUGGAGACGUCCAACGUCGUUUCUGUUCUUGGGAAUGUAGACGACCUGACAAACACAGGGUUCCCAGAGGCUCCAGAGCACUUUCCUCUGCCUCCUUGGAUUCCUUCCUUUUCCCAGACAGGCAGGCGGUGAGUGUCUGAGAGAUUUCUGCGUUCGUACUGGUGGGAACACAAUAUGAGCUCAGAGAACAGGAAUAUAGGAGGACCUGACUACACCACCGAAACCACACGGGAGGGAACAAUGCCCAACCUUGAGCGAGAUGUGCAGGGUGCAGAGGCAGUGAAGAUCAAGCGGACUGGGAGGUGUCACUGUCUGCUCGAGGCAUUGAGCGUGAGAGAGAGAUGUCACAGUAUGGGGAGAUUAAUCUACAUGUAGCUGAUAAAGCAAAAUAAACUUGCGGAAGACUGUGUCAUGUCACGAUCUGUUCACGCUCACGGUCCCACGGUGGUGGAAUGACCUCCCGGUGGAUGUCAGAACGGCAGAGUCUCUGACCUCCUUCAAGGGCAACUGAAGACCCAUCUCUUCAGGCGACACCUUUCCCUCCCCAAUCACCAUGAUUAGCCUUAGACUGUAAUGGCACUUAUGUAUAGAUAUCCUUACUUGUAUAGGUAUUGCUGUUUUCAUUGGCUGUUGUAUUGUUGUAUUCUAGCUGCCAACUGUGGUAUGCUAGUUUGAAAGUUGAUUGUACUCUUCAAGGGUUCUGAUUUUCUGUAUGUUUACGCUAGGACUCGGAACUAUACUGUCCUCUCGGGUCCUCUUGGCACUUGUUCUUGUGUUUGAUUUGCACUUUGUUGUACGUCGCUCUGCAUAAGUACGUCUGCUAAAUGCCACGUAAUGUAAUGUAAUGUAAUGUUACACUCUGUAAAGUGUCUCAUAAAAAAUGCUAAAUGAAAGGAA
Molecule: long non-coding RNA, 1867 nt
Organism: Conger conger (European conger)
Lineage: Eukaryota; Metazoa; Chordata; Actinopteri; Anguilliformes; Congridae
Exons: 2
Source: RefSeq, a predicted model, not a curated record